This 253-nucleotide ribosomal RNA is filed under the name uncultured bacterium. RNAcentral describes it as "partial 16S ribosomal RNA". It matches the Rfam family "Bacterial small subunit ribosomal RNA", at positions 524 to 776 of the family's 1533-position model. The record is from RNAcentral.
UACGGGGGGGGCAAGCGUUGUUCGGAAUUACUGGGCGUAAAGGGCUCGUAGGCGGCCAACUAAGUCAUACGUGAAAUCCCUCGGCUUAACCGGGGAACUGCGUCUGAUACUGGAUGGCUUGAGAUUGGGAGAGGGAUGCGGAAUUCCAGGUGUAGCGGUGAAAUGCGUAGAUAUCGUAAGGAAGACCAGUGGCGAAGGCGGGUCUCUGGACAGUUCCUGACGCUGAGGCACGAAGGCCAGGGGAGCAAACGGG